RNAcentral lists this non-coding RNA (51 nucleotides) under Trypanosoma lewisi. Lineage: Eukaryota; Euglenozoa; Kinetoplastea; Trypanosomatida; Trypanosomatidae. The record is from RNAcentral.
AUAUUUAUUUUAAUUUCUAAAUUGCUACGUGAUUAUGUAUAGUAUGAUGAA